UUAAGCGACUAAGCGUACACGGUGGAUGCCCUGGCAGUCAGAGGCGAUGAAGGACGUGCUAAUCUGCGAAAAGCGUCGGUAAGGUGAUAUGAACCGUUAUAACCGGCGAUGUCCGAAUGGGGAAACCCAGUGUGAUUCGUCACACUAUCGUUAACUGAAUACAUAGGUUAACGAGGCGAACCGGGGGAACUGAAACAUCUAAGUACCCCGAGGAAAAGAAAUCAACCGAGAUUCCCCCAGUAGCGGCGAGCGAACGGGGAGCAGCCCAGAGUCUGAAUCAGCUUGUGUGUUAGUGGAACGGUCUGGAAAGUCCGACGGUACAGGGUGAUAGUCCCGUACACCAAAAUGCACAGGCUGUGAACUCGAAGAGUAGGGCGGGACACGUGGUAUCCUGUCUGAAUAUGGGGGGACCAUCCUCCAAGGCUAAAUACUCCUGACUGACCGAUAGUGAACCAGUACCGUGAGGGAAAGGCGAAAAGAACCCCGGCGAGGGGAGUGAAAAAGAACCUGAAACCGUGUACGUACAAGCAGUGGGAGCACCUUCGGGUGUGACUGCGUACCUUUUGUAUAAUGGGUCAGCGACUUAUAUUCUGUAGCAAGGUUAACCGUAUAGGGGAGCCGCAGGGAAACCGAGUCUUAACUGGGCGUUAAGUUGCAGGGUAUAGACCCGAAACCCGGUGAUCUAGCCAUGGGCAGGUUGAAGGUUGGGUAACACUAACUGGAGGACCGAACCGACUAAUGUUGAAAAAUUAGCGGAUGACUUGUGGCUGGGGGUGAAAGGCCAAUCAAACCGGGAGAUAGCUGGUUCUCCCCGAAAGCUAUUUAGGUAGCGCCUCGUGAAUUCAUCUUCGGGGGUAGAGCACUGUUUCGGCUAGGGGGUCAUCCCGACUUACCAACCCGAUGCAAACUACGAAUACCGAAGAAUGUUAUCACGGGAGACACACGGCGGGUGCUAACGUCCGUCGUGAAGAGGGAAACAACCCAGACCGCCAGCUAAGGUCCCAAAGUCAUGGUUAAGUGGGAAACGAUGUGGGAAGGCACAGACAGCCAGGAUGUUGGCUUAGAAGCAGCCAUCAUUUAAAGAAAGCGUAAUAGCUCACUGGUCGAGUCGGCCUGCGCGGAAGAUGUAACGGGGCUAAACCAUGCACCGAAGCUGCGGCAGCGACACUAUGUGUUGUUGGGUAGGGGAGCGUUCUGUAAGCCUGCGAAGGUGACCUGUGAGGGUUGCUGGAGGUAUCAGAAGUGCGAAUGCUGACAUAAGUAACGAUAAAGCGGGUGAAAAGCCCGCUCGCCGGAAGACCAAGGGUUCCUGUCCAACGUUAAUCGGGGCAGGGUGAGUCGACCCCUAAGGCGAGGCCGAAAGGCGUAGUCGAUGGGAAACAGGUUAAUAUUCCUGUACUUGGUGUUACUGCGAAGGGGGGACGGAGAAGGCUAUGUUAGCCGGGCGACGGUUGUCCCGGUUUAAGCAUGUAGGCUGGUUGUCCAGGCAAAUCCGGAUAAUCAAGGCUGAGGUGUGAUGACGAGGUACUACGGUGCUGAAGUAACAAAUGCCCUGCUUCCAGGAAAAGCCUCUAAGCAUCAGGUAACAUCAAAUCGUACCCCAAACCGACACAGGUGGUCAGGUAGAGAAUACCAAGGCGCUUGAGAGAACUCGGGUGAAGGAACUAGGCAAAAUGGUGCCGUAACUUCGGGAGAAGGCACGCUGGUGUGUAGGUGAAGCCCCUGCGGGUGGAGCUGAGACCAGUCGAAGAUACCAGCUGGCUGCAACUGUUUAUUAAAAACACAGCACUGUGCAAACACGAAAGUGGACGUAUACGGUGUGACGCCUGCCCGGUGCCGGAAGGUUAAUUGAUGGGGUUAUCCGUAAGGAGAAGCUCUUGAUCGAAGCCCCGGUAAACGGCGGCCGUAACUAUAACGGUCCUAAGGUAGCGAAAUUCCUUGUCGGGUAAGUUCCGACCUGCACGAAUGGCGUAAUGAUGGCCAGGCUGUCUCCACCCGAGACUCAGUGAAAUUGAACUCGCUGUGAAGAUGCAGUGUACCCGCGGCAAGACGGAAAGACCCCGUGAACCUUUACUAUAGCUUGACACUGAACAUUGAGCCUUGAUGUGUAGGAUAGGUGGGAGGCUUUGAAGCGUGGACGCCAGUCUGCGUGGAGCCAACCUUGAAAUACCACCCUUUAAUGUUUGAUGUUCUAACGUUGGCCCCUUAUCGGGGUUGCGGACAGUGUCUGGUGGGUAGUUUGACUGGGGCGGUCUCCUCCCAAAGCGUAACGGAGGAGCACGAAGGUUAGCUAAUCCUGGUCGGACAUCAGGAGGUUAGUGCAAUGGCAUAAGCUAGCUUGACUGCGAGCGUGACGGCGCGAGCAGGUGCGAAAGCAGGUCAUAGUGAUCCGGUGGUUCUGAAUGGAAGGGCCAUCGCUCAACGGAUAAAAGGUACUCCGGGGAUAACAGGCUGAUACCGCCCAAGAGUUCAUAUCGACGGCGGUGUUUGGCACCUCGAUGUCGGCUCAUCACAUCCUGGGGCUGAAGUAGGUCCCAAGGGUAUGGCUGUUCGCCAUUUAAAGUGGUACGCGAGCUGGGUUUAGAACGUCGUGAGACAGUUCGGUCCCUAUCUGCCGUGGGCGCUGGAGAAUUGAGGGGGGCUGCUCCUAGUACGAGAGGACCGGAGUGGACGCAUCACUGGUGUUCGGGUUGUCAUGCCAAUGGCACUGCCCGGUAGCUAAAUGCGGAAGAGAUAAGUGCUGAAAGCAUCUAAGCACGAAACUUGCCCCGAGAUGAGUUCUCCCUGAGACUUUAAGUCUCCUGAAGGAACGUUGAAGACGACGACGUUGAUAGGCCGGGUGUGUAAGCGCAGCGAUGCGUUGAGCUAACCGGUACUAAUGAACCGUGAGGCUUAACCUU
This 2900-nucleotide ribosomal RNA is filed under the name Klebsiella pneumoniae. RNAcentral's name for it is "bacterial LSU rRNA". It matches the Rfam family "Bacterial large subunit ribosomal RNA". Lineage: Bacteria; Pseudomonadati; Pseudomonadota; Gammaproteobacteria; Enterobacterales; Enterobacteriaceae. The record is from RNAcentral.